RNAcentral lists this unclassified non-coding RNA (240 nucleotides) under soil metagenome. RNAcentral describes it as "partial contains 5.8S ribosomal RNA, internal transcribed spacer 2, and large subunit ribosomal RNA". The record is from RNAcentral.
AACGCACGAGACCUGCGGACCUGCGGAGGGAUCAUUAAUGAGAAGCUGCCCCUCGUGGGUAGACCUCCCACCCUCUGUGAACUUACCUUUGUUGCUUUGGCAGGCCCGUCCUCUGGACCGCCGGCUUCGGCUGGCCCGUGCCCGCCAGAGGAUUCCAAACCCUGUCUGUCAGUGUUGUCUGAGUCUAUAUGAAAUCGUUAAAACUUUCAACAAUGGAUCUCUAGAUCGGAAGAGCACACG